UGACUCUGGUUUCUCUUCAUUACGCACAAGCCUUUCGCCUUUUACUAAAGACUUCCGUGGAGAGGAACACUUACGAGUUCCCACGUAUUUUUGGAGCGGCUUUGCUUCUUGCAGAGCC
Molecule: small nuclear RNA, 118 nt
Filed under: Oncorhynchus mykiss (rainbow trout)
Lineage: Eukaryota; Metazoa; Chordata; Actinopteri; Salmoniformes; Salmonidae
Description: U5 spliceosomal RNA (ENSOMYG00000060420.1)
Rfam family: U5 spliceosomal RNA
About the family: U5 RNA is a component of both types of known spliceosome. The precise function of this molecule is unknown, though it is known that the 5' loop is required for splice site selection and p220 binding, and that both the 3' stem-loop and the Sm site are important for Sm protein binding and cap methylation.
Source: RNAcentral